AACGCACAUUGCGCUCCGUGGUAUUCCGCGGAGCAUGCCCGUUUGAGAAUCAUUGAAAUCAUCGGACCGGUCUGUUCCUCUUCGGGGGUCCAGGCUGGGACGGAUUUGGGUCCGUUUGUUCCCAGGGGCAGCCUUCGGGAUGCUCUGAACAAUGACCUUAAAUUCAAUGUCCACGGUGUCAUCUAAAGUGAAAGAUGCCGGUGUUGGAGUGUUACAACGUUCUACUCUGUAGAUUCGAAGGUCUCUCCAGCUUUUGCCGGUGUCGUUUUGAGUAGCUUGGGUGGUCUCUGCUGUGUUGAACUAAGCGUGUUUUGGGGUUCGGAUUCGGGGGGAUCCGACCGUAAAGCGUGCACCUUCAGUGGGCGGUCUCCUUUGGAGGGUUGCUCAUCAACUUGGUCUCAAAUCGGGUAGGAAAACCCGCUGAACUUAA
This 430-nucleotide unclassified non-coding RNA is filed under the name uncultured fungus. Its description in RNAcentral is "partial contains 5.8S ribosomal RNA, internal transcribed spacer 2, and large subunit ribosomal RNA". Lineage: Eukaryota; Fungi. The record is from RNAcentral.